Molecule: ribosomal RNA, 324 nt
Filed under: uncultured eukaryote
Lineage: Eukaryota
Description: partial 18S ribosomal RNA
Rfam family: Eukaryotic small subunit ribosomal RNA
Source: RNAcentral
CCCUUAGAUGUUCUGGGCUGCACGCGCGCUACACUGAUGUGUUCAUCGGGUUCGACCUUGCCCGGGAGGGUUGGGUAAUCCUUUCAAAACACAUCGUGAUGGGGAUAGAUUAUUGCAAUUAUUAAUCUUCAACGAGGAAUUCCUAGUAAGCGCGAGUCAUCAGCUCGUGCUGAUUACGUCCCUGCCCUUUGUACACACCGCCCGUCGCUCCUACCGAUUGGGUGAUCCGGUGAAUAAUUCGGACUGCAGCAGUGUCCAGUUCCUGGACGUUGCAGCGGAAAGUUUAGUGAACCUUAUCACUUAGAGGAAGGAGAAGUCGUAACA